This 430-nucleotide ribosomal RNA is filed under the name Acidobacteriota bacterium. Its description in RNAcentral is "Acidobacteria bacterium partial 16S ribosomal RNA". It matches the Rfam family "Bacterial small subunit ribosomal RNA", at positions 355 to 776 of the family's 1533-position model. Lineage: Bacteria; Pseudomonadati; Acidobacteriota. The record is from RNAcentral.
UGGGGAAUAUUGGACAAUGGGCGGAAGCCUGAUCCAGCCAUGCCGCGUGCGUGAAGAAGGCCUUUUGGUUGUAAAGCACUUUAAGCGAGGAGGAGGCUACUUGGAUUAAUACUCUAGGAUAGUGGACGUUACUCGCAGAAUAAGCACCGGCUAACUCUGUGCCAGCAGCCGCGGUAAUACAGAGGGUGCGAGCGUUAAUCGGAUUUACUGGGCGUAAAGCGUGCGUAGGCGGCUUCUUAAGUCGGAUGUGAAAUCCCUGAGCUUAACUUAGGAAUUGCAUUCGAUACUGGGAAGCUAGAGUAUGGGAGAGGAUGGUAGAAUUCCAGGUGUAGCGGUGAAAUGCGUAGAGAUCUGGAGGAAUACCGAUGGCGAAGGCAGCCAUCUGGCCUAAUACUGACGCUGAGGUACGAAAGCAUGGGGAGCAAACAGG